UUCAACAAACAGAGGCCGGCCGCGUUCGCCCACA
Molecule: small RNA, 34 nt
Filed under: Bombyx mori (domestic silkworm)
Lineage: Eukaryota; Metazoa; Arthropoda; Insecta; Lepidoptera; Bombycidae
Description: ovarian small RNA-36941
Source: RNAcentral